GAGGAGGAAAGGUGACAUAAAAUAAGGACAGGCAUAAGAAAUGAGGGGUUCGUUUCGUGUGGAAUGAAAGGAAGAGAUAGAAAACUGUGUUUCUGUUGUUGAGAGGGUGAGAAUUGGGAGGCAAAUGAAGAGGGAAUGAGAGAUUUAUAAUUCCUGGUGAUCUUGGUUGGGGUAAAGAAAAGGAAAAGAUAAAUUAGUCGUCAACGCUCAUGCAGGGAGAGGUCAGUUAGUGGAGGGAGGCGCAUUGGCAUUGCUCACCCAUGCCUUUCUGCUUUAUUGAUUUCUUUCUACUUCUCGAAGCCUAAUGUUACUGUCUAAUAAAGUCACAUAGAAAAUCC
Molecule: long non-coding RNA, 338 nt
Filed under: Prunus persica (peach)
Lineage: Eukaryota; Viridiplantae; Streptophyta; Magnoliopsida; Rosales; Rosaceae
Description: long non-coding RNA (PPER_LNC007556)
Source: RNAcentral